RNAcentral lists this non-coding RNA (24 nucleotides) under Cricetulus griseus (Chinese hamster). Lineage: Eukaryota; Metazoa; Chordata; Mammalia; Rodentia; Cricetidae. The record is from RNAcentral.
CGGUGGAGGAGGGAGACGGGUGUG